This 1400-nucleotide long non-coding RNA is filed under the name Piliocolobus tephrosceles (Ugandan red Colobus). RNAcentral's name for it is "lncRNA (ENSPTEG00000000025.1)". Lineage: Eukaryota; Metazoa; Chordata; Mammalia; Primates; Cercopithecidae. The record is from RNAcentral.
AUACAAAAGUACAACUAUUAAUGAAACAAAUAAAAAUUUAUAUAUUCAGGAAAAUAAAAAUCGAAAUAUAACAAGUCCUACAUCUACAGGUGAUACAAAUUGUAACACCACUAAUGUUAUGACUACAAGUAAAGGCAACAUAACUACUAAAACAAAUACUACUACUACUACUACUACCACUAUACCCACCAUCGAUUUAAAACAUAAAAUACCAUCCAACAUAGACAAAAAUAAUAUACUUAAAAGUAAAAAAGCUAAUAAAAUAAAUGAAUAUAUUCAAAGUAUGAAUUUUAACAGUAACACUAACAAUGGCAACAAUGGUAAUAAUGGCAACAAUUGCAAUAAUGGCAACAAUUGCAAUAAUGGCAACAAUAGCAAUAAUGGCAACAAUGGCAAUAAUGGCAAUGAUGGAAAUAACAAUAAUGAUCAUAAUACGGCUAACAAUAAAAAGACUAGAACUGCAACUAAUGUAACAGUUCAAGCCAAUACAAAUAUUGUUACUAAUAAUAUUACCCCAAAUGUUAACAUAUAUAAAAUGAAUAUAACCGAUAAUAAUGAUGGAAGUAGAAAAAUUAAUUUUAAAAAUAACACGAACAAGAACAAUGUUAUUUUACCUACUACUCCUAUGGCUACUACUCCUAUAACUACUGCUGCUAUACCUACCACUACAGCUACUAAAAUGACAACAAAAACAGAUACCGAAAUGUGUAUCGAAAAUAGUGCGAAUAAUGAUAAGGACAGAUGUAAUAUAACUACAAAUAAUGAUCAUAUAAUUUCAACCAUAUUGUGGAAUAUAAAUAAAAUAUCUUUAUUAUACUCGAGUGGAAAUAAUUUUGUUGUAUCACCUGAAUUUAAGACUGAUACAAUUAUUGACGAUUUUUUUAUUUUACUUAAUAUUAAUUCUGGAGAUAGUAUUACUGAUGGUAUGACUUCUGGUACUGGUUAUAGUAAUAUACUUUACAAUAAUAAUAACACUACUACUACAACAGAUGGUAAAAAUAAUAAUAACACUACUACUAACAUAGCUACUAAUACAACUACUAACAUAACUACUAAUACAGUUACUAAUACAGUUACUAAUACAAACAUAAUAAAUUGUGAAGAUCUUUUUUCCGAUAACAGUUCAUUUGAUUUAUUAUUUUCUUAUACUGGUUAUUGUGACAUAAUCUUUUCAGUAACAUGUGGUUUAUAUAAAACAAAAAUAAAUUCGUUAACACAUAAUUCUUUUCCAUGGUUUGGAAUACAUAAUGUAGGCAUAUUAAAAAAUUGUAUAAAAAAUGAUAGUAUUUCAAUAAAAAUAGAUAUACAUGAUAUUAAAAAAAAAAUAGAAAUGAAAAAGAAACUAACUUUAUAAAUAAUAUAACUACAGAACUAAAAAAUAAAAAAGGAGAUAGUAAUCA